Saccostrea cuccullata (small rock oyster) is the source of this 407-nucleotide long non-coding RNA. RefSeq lists it as uncharacterized. NCBI's taxonomy places the organism in Eukaryota, Metazoa, Mollusca, Bivalvia, Ostreida, Ostreidae. The record is from RefSeq and is a predicted model, not a curated record. The transcript has 2 exons.
AUUCAAUUGUUCACAGACUUGCUCAUAGACUGAAAAUGCAGGGCAAGCAAGAAGAAGUGAAAUUUAAAUUUGUGGAUUAUACACUUGCUUUAGCUGCAUUUAGAAGCGAUUCAGAGACUGCAAGGAAAACAAAUGUUGUGGCGGUAAAUAGCAAUGAAAUCGAGGACCAUGCAUAAAGAAGUGUAUAAAGUACGAGUACGUAUGACAAAGAUCAAGAUGAAGAAAACGGGAGGCGACGAAGGACGGAAAAAGAGCGGGAAUACAACAAAAGGACAGUAAUAAAGGAAGUGAGCCCUGAUUAAGAACUUUGAAUUGAUAAUUUUAAUAAUUUACCUCUAUUGUCUAUUUUAAAAUUUAUUUUGUAAAUUGUGAUUGAAUUGAUGUAUAUAAAAUAUUUUCACAGUGAA